This is a long non-coding RNA of Culex pipiens pallens (northern house mosquito), 805 nucleotides long. RefSeq lists it as uncharacterized. Lineage: Eukaryota; Metazoa; Arthropoda; Insecta; Diptera; Culicidae. The transcript has 2 exons. The record is from RefSeq and is a predicted model, not a curated record.
UACGCCACUCCGCUGUUGGGGCUGGCGACACUACAGCCACGCCAAAAUUACACCUGGUGGCAAUUCACAGGUACUAAUCUACCCUUUGGGAACGUUUGAAAAAAAUCCUCCCCAGUUUCAGUUCAAUGCUCAGUGGGUAUAUCCAAGCAACUUUUGACUAGCAACUGCUGUUUCCAAGAAAUGUCAAAACAAAGGCAUUUUCAUUUUUCUUUCUGUUUGCUGUUAGUUUAGCAUCUUUCGCGAAUGUUUUAUAAAUUUGCUGGUUGUGCCGUUUCUACCCUGCAGAUUCUAACGGCGUGAAUGUUCCAGUCAAUAGAUCGAAAGUGUUGUGCUCUUCAAGAACGCAGCUUCGUGAGAUUCCGGAGAACUAUGAUGGUGAAAGCGAACUCAGAAACGAUGAAGCGGAAGUCUGUCUAGCCGUUCAUGGUGGAUGACAAUCAACGCUCAGUUACACAUCCGGACAAACCUAAGACCUCGACUACUGAACAAGCAAGGGCACAAAUGCUGCCCCGCCAAAGAAGCUUCUCCUGUCACAGAUGUCCUGUGAUUACCCAAAUCAUCUGGCACCUGUACAAAAAAAAAAACAGAUUCCGGUGUUCAACUACAGGUUCAACGGCGAACCUGACCGGAAAUGUUCGUCUUUUGCAUCUCGUAAAAUAAUGCAUCUUGAAACCAUGUUUUGAAUCGGUUCGAAAAGAUAGUAAAUCGGCGUCAUGUUCCAAUACUGCUAGUAGUUGUGUGUAACACAAUUGGUUUAAAUGUAUACUAUGCAAUGUAAAAUUCUUGGGAAUAAAACAAAAAUCUA